GACGAACGCUGGCGGCGCGCCUAACACAUGCAAGUCGAACGAGCGAGAGAGAGCUUGCUUUCUCAAGCGAGUGGCGAACGGGUGAGUAACGCGUGAGGAACCUGCCUCAAAGAGGGGGACAACAGUUGGAAACGACUGCUAAUACCGCAUAAGCCCACAGGUCGGCAUCGACCAGAGGGAAAAGGAGUAAUCCGCUUUGAGAUGGCCUCGCGUCCGAUUAGCUAGUUGGUGAGGUAACGGCCCACCAAGGCAACGAUCGGUAGCCGGACUGAGAGGUUGAACGGCCACAUUGGGACUGAGACACGGCCCAGACUCCUACGGGAGGCAGCAGUGGGGAAUAUUGCACAAUGGGGGAAACCCUGAUGCAGCGACGCCGCGUGGAGGAAGAAGGUCUUCGGAUUGUAAACUCCUGUUGUUGAGGAAGAUAAUGACGGUACUCAACAAGGAAGUGACGGCUAACUACGUG
Molecule: ribosomal RNA, 466 nt
Filed under: uncultured bacterium
Lineage: Bacteria
Description: partial 16S ribosomal RNA
Rfam family: Bacterial small subunit ribosomal RNA
Source: RNAcentral